UCCUAAGGACAGGAAAAGAAACAGUUUCUCUGCUCUUAUAUCUCCGGCUGUUUCUCUGAAUAUUUCUCAUAUCUCUAAUUAUUCUUGUUUUUCUUAUUUUGGGCGCCAGACCCCUCCUCGGGGUUUCUAGUGCCAAGUGAAGAUUUGUCCCUGCCGUAGUUUGUUGUUGCUGGAAGAUUAAAGUUUCUCAUGAGCAAAAACGCAGGAAAUGCACAGCAGAUAUGGUAUUAAUAACUAUGACUCACAAAAUAAAUUACAAAAUGCCUGUAAAAUUUGUUUCAAAGAAAGGCCCUUUACCCCACAGGGUAUACACGCAUACGAACACACACACGCAUAUAAUACUGUGUAUUAUGAAUAUACACUCAGUGAAAAUGAUGUAUCUUUUGUGGUGGCAGUAAGGGAAUUAGGGUGCUGCCCACCAGGGGGCAGCGCUGACCCUGCAGACAGGUACGGCUGCAGCUGUGGUUCAUUGCAAUCACGUCAGCUGUGGCCCAUUACCUAAUCAUGGGCUCUAUAAAAGGCCUGGCUCACAGACCUGGAGGAGGUGUUUGGGAGCUGGGGAAUGCAUGGGGUGUGGUAGUUUUUGGGGUUUUGGUUUCGUUUUUGUUUUUGUUUUCUUUGUAGUUUUGGUUGCCAGUUUGACCAUUGGUUUUGUUCCUGAAGAUUUCUCUUGUUUUGGGACCAAUAAAAGGCUACGUCUACUCGUUCUUUCAGAUAUUGCAAAAGUCUCCACCAUCCCUCCACUGAAGGCUCUGGCUCUCUCAGAUAUUUUGAAAACUUUUGGAAUCCUCUCAUGGCAACCCUGACUGACUCCAAUAUGUACAGCACCAGCCCCUCUCCUGGAGCCCCUCUCCUGCAGGAACCCUCCCCAGCACCAGCCCCUCUCCUGGAGCCCCUCUUCUGGAGGAACACUCCCCAGCCCCAGCCCCUCUCCUGGAGGAACCCUCCCCAGCACCAGCCCCUCUCCUGGAGGAACCCUCCCUAGCCCCAGCCCCUCUCCUGGAGGAACACUCCCCAGCACCAGCCCCUCUCCUGGAGGAACCCUCCCUGCCCCAGCCCCUCUCUGGAGGAACACUCCCCAGCACCAGCCCCUCUCCUGGAGGAACCCUCCCUAGCCCCAGCCCCUCUCCUGGAGCCCCUCUCCUGGAGGAACACUCCCCAGCACCAGCCCCUCUCCUGGAGGAACACUCCCCAGCCCCAGCCCCUCUCCUGGAGGAACCCUCCCAGAGUUAAACGCCCUUCUGAGCCCAGCCGCGCAGAACGUGCAGGCACAGAACCGGCCGCUCUGAUCGGCUCCAUGGGUGAAGUCCCAGGCCCAGAAUCGACAAACGUCCUGAGCCAAAUUCACCCUGCACUUCCUAUUAAACAGUGCGAUGAGUUCACCUUGGGCUUCGCCAGAUUCACGAAGCUCCAUUUUAUGAAGACUAAGACUCAGGGCCAGAUUUACUAGAACAUUGCGGCUGCUUUUUUCAAACUCAAAAGUAGUUCCUGCAAGGUCACAGAAUCUACAUCACAUUUUCUGCACGCUGCAGUGUCACUGCUGUUUGGCUGUUCGCAGAGUGAUUUUCUCUGUCUCUUUCUGAAACGGCUCAUUUCUUCCUCCUCAGCUUCAAUCUCACCAGCACUUAUCAGCCGCUGUAAAAAUACUCGAUUCCUUAUUUUCAUUCAGGAAGAAUCUUUUUCCAUGAAGUGCACAGCUUUCCACUUCCAAUCAUCGGGCUUUUUGGGUAACUGCGUUGUUGAGACGUGGUGCCGUUGACCCAUAAGUGUCCGAAAAAGGCGGAUGAAGGCGGUGAAGUGCGUGGAUAGGGAGCUGCUCUGGCCAAUCACGCGUGGAGGGAGAGGCACUGCUAUUGGCUCCUAAAUUGCUUUUGCAAAUAUACAGCUAGAUCCAGAUAUGUACAGAUAUAACUUCAAAAAUGUAAGCUAGGUAGGUCUGUAUAAGGUAUAAGGUCUUCAAAUUAAAUAAACAAAAAAAAAAACCUGAGUCAGUGUUUGUUCAUAAAGCUCUGAGGUACUGAGUCGGUGUUUAUUCAUAAAGCUCUGAGUCAGUAUUUGUUCAUAAAGCUCUGAGGCACUGAGUCUGUGUUUGUUCUUAAAGCUCUGGAGCUUUGUGCAGCACCUGUGAGCUGUUCCUAGGCCCUGGCUCGUUUCCUGCAGUGAGAGUGCAUCCCCAUGCAGAGCACAUUUCUAAUCAUUCUGAAUUCCUCUUAACAUCCGAGCAAGAAUCUGAGCACACGUUUUUAAUCAUGCUAUACGGAAUUAAACCAAAUAAUAUAAUUUAGCAUUUUAGUAUUAAAAAAACAACGCAUAAAUAUGAAAAGGUAUAAUUAUGAAUAAUUUUGAUUUAAUUUAUGAGCCUUACAGGCUUACAAAGUAAGGCUUACAAACUUCUGAAAAACACCAUGUGACCAAAAUGAAUUAAAUGAAUCAGUGUGUGCUGUGAUUGUUUCUCUUAUUUGGAAUUAGGAAUUUUGCCUGUCAGUCACUUUUUAUGUGCUGCCUUCCAUUAAAAAUCUGUAUUUAUAAGAUUUUUAUAUUAAUUAUGAAAUUACAUUUUUAUAACACCUUCCAUCUCUCAAAAUCAAAAAAGAAAGGAGAGAAAAAAAACGCAAAUGUUUUUAUUCUCUACAGAGAACUAAAAAAAAUAAAAUAAGGGAUUAUGAGUGCGUGUGUUUAGAUUUUAAAAUGUCUGGACAGCCGCAGAGGGCUGUUGAGAUCCGGAAGAUUCUCUCAGCGCUGGAGUAAACACACAGGUGGGAAUCGGCCAAGUUGAGAUCCGGAAGCUUCUCUCAGUGCUGGAGUAAACACACAGGUGGGAAUCGGCCAUGUUGAGGUCCGGAAGCUUCUCUCAGCGCUGGAGUAAACACACAGGUGGGAAUUGGCCAUGUUGGCAUGCAGCUUUAAUGCUCCUGACUUGCUACACUGCUCUUUUCCCUUCAGGGUCAACCUUUCUCCUGCCUGUGGAUGCAGCUCUUUAAAUAUAUAUUAUAUAUUUUAUAUUACACUGCUUUUAAAAUGGAGCAGUGGGUGCAGUCAUUACAAUAUAGCACAAUAAGCUCUUAAGUUGUUAUUAAAAACAAAUAUUAAAACUGUUAUUAAGCUGUUAUUUAAACACUCCACAUUAUGAUUUUAUUGCUGUUUUU
Molecule: long non-coding RNA, 3146 nt
Organism: Anguilla rostrata (American eel)
Lineage: Eukaryota; Metazoa; Chordata; Actinopteri; Anguilliformes; Anguillidae
Exons: 3
Source: RefSeq, a predicted model, not a curated record